RNAcentral lists this microRNA precursor (90 nucleotides) under Bombyx mori (domestic silkworm). RNAcentral's name for it is "microRNA bmo-mir-3351 precursor". Lineage: Eukaryota; Metazoa; Arthropoda; Insecta; Lepidoptera; Bombycidae. The record is from miRBase by way of RNAcentral.
GUAGCGCAUUUACGUUGUGGAUGUCUAUGGGCGCCAGUAACUACUUAACAGCUGGUGGGCUGUUUAAAACAAUCGUGAUUAUUUUCUACU